This 629-nucleotide ribosomal RNA is filed under the name uncultured fungus. RNAcentral's name for it is "eukaryotic LSU rRNA". It matches the Rfam family "Eukaryotic large subunit ribosomal RNA", at positions 24 to 664 of the family's 3401-position model. Lineage: Eukaryota; Fungi. The record is from RNAcentral.
CCCGCUGAACUUAAGCAUAUCAAUAAGCGGAGGAAAAGAAACCAACAGGGAUUGCCUCAGUAACGGCGAGUGAAGCGGCAACAGCUCAAAUUUGAAAUCUGGUUCCUCUGGAGCCCGAGUUGUAAUUUGUAGAGGAUGUCUUCGGGUUUGGCCCCGGCCUAAGUUCCUUGGAACAGGACGUCACAGAGGGUGAGAAUCCCGUAUGUGGCUGGAGGUCUAUGCCCAUGUGAAGCUCCCUCGACGAGUCGAGUUGUUUGGGAAUGCAGCUCAAAAUGGGUGGUAAGUUUCAUCUAAAGCUAAAUACUGGCGGGAGACCGAUAGCGCACAAGUAGAGUGAUCGAAAGAUGAAAAGCACUUUGGAAAGAGAGUUAAAAAGUACGUGAAAUUGUUGAAAGGGAAGCGCUUGCGACCAGACUUGCCUUCGGUUGAUCAACCGGUGUUCUUCACCGGUGCACUCGGCUGAGGUCAGGCCAGCAUCGGUUUAGACGGUUGGAGAAAGAUCAUAGGAAUGUGGCUCCCUUCGGGGAGUGUUAUAGCCUGUGGUGCCAUGCAGCCAGUUUAGACCGAGGACCGCGCCUUGUGCUAGGAUGCUGGCGUAAUGGUCGUAAGCGACCCGUCUUGAAACACGG